RNAcentral lists this ribosomal RNA (497 nucleotides) under uncultured bacterium. RNAcentral describes it as "partial 16S ribosomal RNA". It matches the Rfam family "Bacterial small subunit ribosomal RNA", at positions 28 to 507 of the family's 1533-position model. The record is from RNAcentral.
GAUGAACGCUGGCGGCGUGCCUAAUACAUGCAAGUCGAGCGAACGGACGAGAAGCUUGCUCCUCUGAUGUUAGCGGCGGACGGGUGAGUAACACGUGGAUAACCUACCUAUAAGACUGGGAUAACUUCGGGAAACCGGAGCUAAUACCGGAUAAUAUUUUGAACCGCAUGGUUCAAUAGUGAAAGACGGUUUUGCUGUCACUUAUAGAUGGAUCCGCGCUGCAUUAGCUAGUUGGUAAGGUAACGGCUUACCAAGGCAACGAUGCAUAGCCGACCUGAGAGGGUGAUCGGCCACACUGGAACUGAGACACGGUCCAGACUCCUACGGGAGGCAGCAGUAGGGAAUCUUCCGCAAUGGGCGAAAGCCUGACGGAGCAACGCCGCGUGAGUGAUGAAGGUCUUCGGAUCGUAAAACUCUGUUAUUAGGGAAGAACAUAUGUGUAAGUAACUGUGCACAUCUUGACGGUACCUAAUCAGAAAGUCACGGCUAACUACGUG